GUCCACGCCGUAAACUAUGGAUGCUAGCCGUCGGCAAGCUUGCUUGUCGGUGGCGCAGCUAACGCAUUAAGCAUCCCGCCUGGGGAGUACGGCCGCAAGGUUAAAACUCAAAGGAAUUGACGGGGGCCCCGCACAAGCGGUGGAGCAUGUGGUUUAAUUCGACGCAACGCGAAGAACCUUACCAGCUCUUGACAUGUCCGGACGGUUUCCAGAAAUGGAUUCCUCCUAGCAAUAGGCCGGAACACAGGUGCUGCAUGGCUGUCGU
Molecule: ribosomal RNA, 265 nt
Filed under: uncultured bacterium
Lineage: Bacteria
Description: partial 16S ribosomal RNA
Rfam family: Bacterial small subunit ribosomal RNA
Source: RNAcentral